CGCUGUGAAAGGUCUUUCCAACAGUAAUGGAGCUGAAUUUAAAUCUAAUAGUCAGUGAGAGUCACAGUAGCGCCAUCUCUUGGUGUGCUUCUGAAGUUGCUGUGGCAUCUCUGCAUUCAAGAUGAUGACUGCCUUGGAACAAAAUAUGAAACAAUUUUGGAUAUCUUUGCUGUUUUAUUAUUUUCUUGGGGAGAAGCCAUUAAUAGCCUAUGGGAACCAGUUUCUGCCUCAGAGUUAAAAAAUUAAGGU
Long non-coding RNA from Sinocyclocheilus grahami, 249 nucleotides. RefSeq lists it as uncharacterized. The record is from RefSeq and is a predicted model, not a curated record. NCBI's taxonomy places the organism in Eukaryota, Metazoa, Chordata, Actinopteri, Cypriniformes, Cyprinidae. The transcript is spliced from 3 exons.